CAAACGCGAAAUGUGUUAUGACAUGCAGUCUUUGUGAAUCAUUUACUCUUUGAACGCACCUUGUGCCCAUUGCCAUUGCGCAGUGGGUAUACUUGUUUGAGUAUCGCUAACGAAAAAAGUCGCUCCUUGGAGUGGACGUGCGUUUCACACACUCGUGUGUGAUCUGUGAAAUGGAUAAGCGGGCGUGCAGGAAACCCACGCAUACGCACUCUUGGGAUAAAUCCAAUCAAGGGUGUGCGUGGGAGGGAAUGCACGACCAGCAAAAGAGGGGCGAUCAGCGAACGUCAUUGACGCACUCACUGCUCGCUCCUCGCACCACACGCUGAUCUCAAAUCAAGUAAGAGGACCCGCUGAACUUAA
This 360-nucleotide unclassified non-coding RNA is filed under the name uncultured fungus. Its description in RNAcentral is "sequence contains ITS1". The stretch from base 1 to 106 matches the Rfam family "5.8S ribosomal RNA", at positions 50 to 154 of the family's 154-position model. Lineage: Eukaryota; Fungi. The record is from RNAcentral.